Molecule: ribosomal RNA, 1343 nt
Filed under: uncultured bacterium
Lineage: Bacteria
Description: 16S ribosomal RNA
Rfam family: Bacterial small subunit ribosomal RNA
Source: RNAcentral
GACGAACGCUGGCGGCGUGCUUAACACGUGCAAGUCGAACGGAAAGGCCCUGCUUUUGUGGGGUGCUCGAGUGGCGAACGGGUGAGUAACACGUGAGUAACCUGCCCUUGACUUUGGGAUAACUUCAGGAAACUGGGGCUAAUACCGGAUAGGAGCUCCUGCUGCAUGGUGGGGGUUGGAAAGUUUCGGCGGUUGGGGAUGGACCCGCGGCUUAUCAGCUUGUUGGUGGGGUAGUGGCUUACCAAGGCUUUGACGGGUAGCCGGCCUGAGAGGGUGACCGGCCACAUUGGGACUGAGAUACGGCCCAGACUCCUACGGGAGGCAGCAGUGGGGAAUAUUGCACAAUGGGCGGAAGCCUGAUGCAGCAACGCCGCGUGCGGGAUGACGGCCUUCGGGUUGUAAACCGCUUUCGCCUGUGACGAAGCGUGAGUGACGGUAAUGGGUAAAGAAGCACCGGCUAACUACGUGCCAGCAGCCGCGGUGAUACGUAGGGUGCGAGCGUUGUCCGGAUUUAUUGGGCGUAAAGGGCUCGUAGGUGGUUGAUCGCGUCGGAAGUGUAAUCUUGGGGCUUAACCCUGAGCGUGCUUUCGAUACGGGUUGACUUGAGGAAGGUAGGGGAGAAUGGAAUUCCUGGUGGAGCGGUGGAAUGCGCAGAUAUCAGGAGGAACACCAGUGGCGAAGGCGGUUCUCUGGGCCUUUCCUGACGCUGAGGAGCGAAAGCGUGGGGAGCGAACAGGCUUAGAUACCCUGGUAGUCCACGCUGUAAACGGUGGGUACUAGGUGUGGGGUCCACUCCACGGGUUCCGUGCCGUAGCUAACGCUUUAAGUACCCCGCCUGGGGAGUACGGCCGCAAGGCUAAAACUCAAAGGAAUUGACGGGGCCCCGCACAAGCGGCGGAGCAUGCGGAUUAAUUCGAUGCAACGCGUAGAACCUUACCUGGGUUUGACAUGGAUCGGGAGUGCUCAGAGAUGGGUGUGCCUCUUUUGGGGUCGGUUCACAGGUGGUGCAUGGCUGUCGUCAGCUCGUGUCGUGAGAUGUUGGGUUAAGUCCCGCAACGAGCGCAACCCUUGUUCACUGUUGCCAGCACGUUAUGGUGGGGACUCAGUGGAGACCGCCGGGGUCAACUCGGAGGAAGGUGGGGAUGACGUCAAGUCAUCAUGCCCCUUAUGUCCAGGGCUUCACGCAUGCUACAAUGGCUGGUACAGAGAGUGGCGAGCCUGUGAGGGUGAGCGAAUCUCGGAAAGCCGGUCUCAGUUCGGAUUGGGGUCUGCAACUCGACCUCAUGAAGUCGGAGUCGCUAGUAAUCGCAGAUCAGCAACGCUGCGGUGAAUACGUUCCCGGG